Daphnia pulicaria is the source of this 571-nucleotide long non-coding RNA. RefSeq lists it as uncharacterized. The transcript is spliced from 3 exons. NCBI's taxonomy places the organism in Eukaryota, Metazoa, Arthropoda, Branchiopoda, Diplostraca, Daphniidae. The record is from RefSeq and is a predicted model, not a curated record.
GCGGCGAGGAUGAUGAACUGUAUGAAAUAUGAAACAUUUGAGGCCAUGUAAUAAGGACGAUUCCCAAAUUUUGCAAAUUACAUUUGUGGAAGAAGCAGUCCAGGAACUAUAUUUGCACCAGGUCCUCCAAAAUUCCAUUACUAGAAGCAGUUGUGCUUCGCUUCUAAUUUUCUCCAUGCUGACUAUGAGUGCUAUGAGAAAUGCUGACUUAAAUACAACAACAAGACCAACACUGACUGUAGUCCUUCAUCUGGAAACAAAGUGUCACUGCUCUAUAAGAAAACCGGGAACCAGUGAGAAGAUGUCAAUUGUCGACGUUAGUGACGAUGACUGCGGGACUGUUGGCAAGUAACACAGUUUUUGACCAUAUGUUCCAGCAUUCGAGAAAAUUGGAGAUUAAUGGCUUGUGCUUAAGUUUUCAAUGCCUGCUUUGCUCACUACCUGGUGCAAAACAAAAUAAUAGAUCCUCGGUCAUCUCAGCACUUGGUUUAUGUUAAAGAAAUUUUCAAAAUUUCUUCGUUGACCGAAGCAGAACGAAACUUUUGUUUGCUGCGCGUACGUAAUUUGCUUU